RNAcentral lists this ribosomal RNA (465 nucleotides) under uncultured bacterium. RNAcentral describes it as "partial 16S ribosomal RNA". It matches the Rfam family "Bacterial small subunit ribosomal RNA", at positions 28 to 507 of the family's 1533-position model. The record is from RNAcentral.
GACGAACGCUGGCGGCGUGCUUAACACAUGCAAGUCGAACGGAAAGGCCCUGCUUGCAGGGUACUCGAGUGGCGAACGGGUGAGUAACACGUGGGUGAUCUGCCCUGCACUUCGGGAUAAGCUUGGGAAACUGGGUCUAAUACCGGAUAGGAGCCAUCUUUAGUGUGGUGGUUGGAAAGUUUUUUCGGUGUAGGAUGAGCUCGCGGCCUAUCAGCUUGUUGGUGGGGUAAUGGCCUACCAAGGCGGCGACGGGUAGCCGGCCUGAGAGGGUGUACGGCCACAUUGGGACUGAGAUACGGCCCAGACUCCUACGGGAGGCAGAAGUGGGGAAUAUUGCACAAUGGGCGCAAGCCUGAUGCAGCGACGCCGCGUGGGGGAUGAAGGCCUUCGGGUUGUAAACUCCUUUCGCUAGGGACGAAGCUUUUUGUGACGGUACCUAGAUAAGAAGCACCGGCUAACUACGUG